UACAUAUGAUGUUUAUUCUCACGAUGGUCUUCCAAGUCUUCGAGACUCUGACGACAUCGCCUUAUGGCAUAACUGAUGUAGCUUU
This is a small nucleolar RNA of Trichomycterus rosablanca, 85 nucleotides long. RefSeq annotates it as small nucleolar RNA SNORD35. The record is from RefSeq and is a predicted model, not a curated record. The transcript has a single exon. Lineage: Eukaryota; Metazoa; Chordata; Actinopteri; Siluriformes; Trichomycteridae.